RNAcentral lists this ribosomal RNA (254 nucleotides) under uncultured bacterium. RNAcentral's name for it is "partial 16S ribosomal RNA". It matches the Rfam family "Bacterial small subunit ribosomal RNA", at positions 524 to 776 of the family's 1533-position model. The record is from RNAcentral.
UACGUAGGGUGCGAGCGUUAAUCGGAAUUACUGGGCGUAAAGCGUGCGCAGGCGGUUUUGUAAGCCAGAUGUGAAAUCCCCGGGCUUAACCUGGGAAUGGCAUUUGGGACUGCAAGGCUGGAGUUUGGCAGAGGAGACUGGAAUUCCUGGUGUAGCAGUGAAAUGCGUAGAUAUCAGGAGGAAUACCGAUGGCGAAGGCAGGUCUCUGGGCUAUAACUGACGCUCAUGCACGAAAGCGUGGGGGAGCAAACAGG